GAUGAACGCUGGCGGCGUGCCUAAUACAUGCAAGUCGAGCGAACAGAUGAGAAGCUUGCUUCUCUGAUGUUAGCGGCGGACGGGUGAGUAACACGUGGGUAACCUACCUAUAAGACUGGGAUAACUCCGGGAAACCGGGGCUAAUACCGGAUAAUAUUUUGAACCGCAUGGUUCAAUAGUGAAAGACGGUUUCGGCUGUCACUUCUAGAUGGACCCGCGCCGUAUUAGCUAGUUGGUAAGGUAACGGCUUACCAAGGCGACGAUACGUAGCCGACCGGAGAGGGUAGUCGGCCACACUGGAACUGAGACACGGUCCAGACUCCUACGGGAGGCAGCAGUAGGGAAUCUUCCGCAAUGGGCGAAAGCCUGACGGAGCAACGCCGCGUGAGUGAUGAAGGUCUUCGGAUCGUAAAACUCUUUUGUUAGGGAAGAACAAAUUUGUUAGUAACUGAACAAGUCUUGACGGUACCUAACCAGAAAGCCACGGCUAACUACGUGCCAGCCGCCGCCGUAA
Molecule: ribosomal RNA, 514 nt
Filed under: uncultured bacterium
Lineage: Bacteria
Description: partial 16S ribosomal RNA
Rfam family: Bacterial small subunit ribosomal RNA
Source: RNAcentral